AAGGAGGGAGGGAAGGGGAAGAAUGGCAGGGGAAGAGAGAGAGAGAGAGAGAGAGAGAGAGAGAGAGAGAGAGAGAGAGAGAGAGAGAGAGAGAGAGAACAUACUCAACCAUUAUUUAAAAGUCUCAAUAUCCUAAACCUUGCUGAUUUAUCUCAACUCUCCAUUGCAUCAUUCAUGUACAAAACAUUAAAUUUAAGUAAUUACAAUACACAAUCUUUUCACAAUUACUAAACUCGAAACCAGUAUUCACUCUACAUUCCCAGACCUAAUUUAACACUGUUCAAACACUCCACCAUGUAUAUAGGACCUAAGAUUUGGAAUUAUUUACCAGGUGAUAUAAAACAAUCAAAGAGUCUAUCUUGCUUCAAAACAAAAUUAAAGAGUCAUUUGUUAUAUGCUUAUUAGUUAUACACAUGUUAUACGCUUGUUAUAUGUUAUAAGUUAUACGCUAGCUCAUCAGACAUUACCCUCAUGUACUAGUAUCAUUACAGUAGUCAAUAAUUCAUGUGUAAUGGCAAUAGUGAAAAGUAUAUCUAAUAAUAUACUAUAUUUUACUUCGGCAAAUCACUUGUCUGCUAGAUGGUGCCGUUCACAUGAGAUACACUACACUUCGCCACACAGUCAGUUACUGCGCAGACACCACACAAGUCGGACGUCGGUCUCGCCUCCUGUUAAGUUGUUACGACUUCUGUUAUCGACUGACUGUGUGGCGAAGUGUAGUGUAUCUCAUGUGAACCCUACCAUCUAGCAGACGCGAUGUGCCUCGCAAAAUCCGAAGCACAUUUCAACUAACCUACGCAGACUCCUGUGUAGUGGGAUGGCAGCAAAAAACAAGCCCACCUCAACCCACAACUGUCCUCUGCUCUGAAUCUUAAAUGACAAAAUUUACUGUAAUUUUGUUUUCAGCUUUCUCAGAAGACAUAUGAAUAUACU
Molecule: long non-coding RNA, 933 nt
Organism: Scylla paramamosain (green mud crab)
Lineage: Eukaryota; Metazoa; Arthropoda; Malacostraca; Decapoda; Portunidae
Exons: 3
Source: RefSeq, a predicted model, not a curated record